Molecule: non-coding RNA, 305 nt
Organism: Notechis scutatus (mainland tiger snake)
Lineage: Eukaryota; Metazoa; Chordata; Lepidosauria; Squamata; Elapidae
Source: RefSeq, a predicted model, not a curated record
GGAGAUGUUUUUGGCUGGCAAAGUGCCUUAUAGUUCGUGGCUAGACCAUAUAGAAGGCUGGUACUCUCAUAAGAGUGAUUUCAAUAUUCUCUUCCUGUCUUAUGAAGAAAUGAAAAAGGAUCUGAGAAGUUCUGUACUGAAAAUAUGCAACUUCCUAGGGAAAAAACUAACUGAAAAGGAGGUGGAUGAUGUGGUGGAUAAAGCUACAUUUGAUAACAUGAAAGCGGAUCCUAGAGCAAACUACACAUUCAUGUCUCCUGAUAUGCUACAUCCUAGCAAAGGAAACUUUCUUCGCAAAGGUAGAU